RNAcentral lists this long non-coding RNA (670 nucleotides) under Nicotiana tabacum (common tobacco). Its description in RNAcentral is "long non-coding RNA (NTAB_LNC005093)". The record is from RNAcentral. Lineage: Eukaryota; Viridiplantae; Streptophyta; Magnoliopsida; Solanales; Solanaceae.
UGAGCUUUUCCAUACAGUCAGCAUUAGGGUUUUAAACUCUAAACUGAAUUUUUCCUUUAGUCAGCAUUAGGGUUUUAAACCCUAAACUGAACUUUUUUCCAUUCAGCCAGCAUUAGGGUUUUAAACCCUAAACUGAGCUUUUUCUUUCAGUCAGCACUAGGGUUUUAAACCCUAAACUGAAUUUUUCCUUUAGUCAGCAUUAGGGUUUUAAGCCCUAAACUGAACUUUUUUCCAUUCAGCCAGCAUUAGGGUUUUAAACCCUAAACUGAGCUUUUCCAUACAGUCAGCAUUAGGGUUUUUAACCCUAAACUGAAUUUUUCCUUUAGUCAGCAUUAGGGUUUUAAACCGUAAACUGAACUUUUUUCCAUUCAGCCAGCAUUAGGGUUUUAAACCCUAAACUGAGCUUUUCCAUGCAGUCAGCAUUAGGGUUUUAAACCCUAAACUGAAUUUUUCCUUUAGUCAGCAUUAGGGUUUUAAACCCUAAACUGAACUUUUUUCCAUUCAGCCAGCAUUAGGGUUUUAAACCCUAAACUGAGCUUUUCCAUGCAAUCAGCAUUAAGGUUUUUAACCCUAAACUGAACUUUUUUCCAUUCAGCCAGCAUUAGGGUUUUAAACCCUAAACUAAGCUUUUCCAUGCAAUCAGCAUUAGGGUUUUAAACCCUAAAUUGAA